Phyllostomus hastatus (greater spear-nosed bat) is the source of this 901-nucleotide long non-coding RNA. RefSeq lists it as uncharacterized. Lineage: Eukaryota; Metazoa; Chordata; Mammalia; Chiroptera; Phyllostomidae. The record is from RefSeq and is a predicted model, not a curated record. The transcript is spliced from 6 exons.
GAAUAUAUUUCUGCCUGAUUAGCAUAAAUAGUCACUUACCUCAUGAAUUACUAACAAAGUUUAUCUUAAAAUAUAGGUCUUUUUAUUAAGUGGAACACAAACAUAUGUACAAUAAAUUCUGAUUUUCCGGUGCCGUUAAAGAACAACUCGCAUUUGGUUUCGGCAAAACGAGGCUGAAAGGGCGGGUGCAAGCUGCAGAAGGAGGCAACGUUCAGACAAGUGAGAUUGCUUCCUGGAUGAUCUCGACGUGGACUGCGUGUCCUGAAAACACCUGCAACUCAUCACCUACACCUUCGUGAGGGGCCGUGAUAGAAAGUACAUCUCAUGCACAGAGUGCUUCAAAGGGACUAAACUGCAUGAAGAUGUUAAAAAAAAGGAAAAAACAAAAACAAAACCUCUGGAUUGCAUGGAGAGAAUGUUUUCAGCCCUUGAGGUUGAACAGAGUCCUACAGGAAGAACGCAUGAUUAAAAGGAUGAGACUGAAGACAGAUCAGGCGAGCUGAACUCUGAGACCGCAGCUCCCUGGCUUCCCGUGCCGGCGGGCGCCUACAGGUGUCAGGCAGAACCCGCUCACCUUGGACUGUCUACCUGACACUCUCGGUGGGAGCCACCCCGGGAAGUCGGUGUCACAGUGGAAUCACUUCCCGAACGUGGGCACCGCCAUGAGAUUGCUGUCCAUACUUACGUGACCGGGAGGGGGAUCGGCUGCACAUGGAAUGCGCUGUGAUUGUCUCGUUUCACCAGGGGAAGAAUGAAAAUCUCCUAACAGCCUCAGCAGGGCUUCACCGGGUUUCCCCAGGAUGGAGCACAGCUCACGGCUGAUGGAAGUCCACGCCCCUUCUCGCUGGCCUCCCUCUCGUGAAGGCCAACUGAGUUGGAUGGAACUGAAUAUUCUCUUGAG